AGUCACUGACAUUAGACUACCCCCGUAGUCCAGCCGUAAACAAUGUGCGUUAGGUGUGUCGGUAACCACGCGUUACUGAUGCGCCGAAGAGAAAUCGUGAAACGCACCACCUGGGAAGUACGGUCGCAAGGCUGAAACUUAAAAGGAAUUGGCGGGGGAGCACCACAACAGGUGGAGCCUGCGGUUUAAUUGGAUUCAACGCCGGACAUCUCACCGGAUAAGACAGCUGAAUGAUUGUCAAUCUGAAGGUUUUACAUGACUAGCUG
Molecule: ribosomal RNA, 266 nt
Filed under: uncultured archaeon
Lineage: Archaea
Description: partial 16S ribosomal RNA
Rfam family: Archaeal small subunit ribosomal RNA
Source: RNAcentral